GAUGAACGCUGGCGGCGUGCCUAAUACAUGCAAGUCGAGCGAACAGACGAGGAGCUUGCUCCUCUGACGUUAGCGGCGGACGGGUGAGUAACACGUGGAUAACCUACCUAUAAGACUGGGAUAACUUCGGGAAACCGGAGCUAAUACCGGAUAAUAUAUUGAACCGCAUGGUUCAAUAGUGAAAGACGGUUUUGCUGUCACUUAUAGAUGGAUCCGCGCCGCAUUAGCUAGUUGGUAAGGUAACAGCUUACCAAGGCAACGAUGCGUAGCCGACCUGAGAGGGUGAUCGGCGACACUGGAACUGAGACACGGUCCAGACUCCUACGGGAGGCAGCAGUAGGGAAUCUUCCGCAAUGGGCGAAAGCCUGACGGAGCAACGCCGCGUGAGUGAUGAAGGUCUUCGGAUCGUAAAACUCUGUUAUUAGGGAAGAACAAAUGUGUAAGUAACUAUGCACGUCUUGACGGUACCUAAUCAGAAAGCCACGGCUAACUACGUG
This 497-nucleotide ribosomal RNA is filed under the name uncultured bacterium. RNAcentral describes it as "partial 16S ribosomal RNA". It matches the Rfam family "Bacterial small subunit ribosomal RNA", at positions 28 to 507 of the family's 1533-position model. The record is from RNAcentral.